This 85-nucleotide transfer RNA is filed under the name Sphaerodactylus townsendi. RNAcentral's name for it is "tRNA-Ala". Lineage: Eukaryota; Metazoa; Chordata; Lepidosauria; Squamata; Sphaerodactylidae. The record is from RNAcentral.
GGCCUUGUGGCUCAGAGGUAGAGCAUCUGCUCAGCAUCGCGGAAGGUGCCAGGUUCAAUCCCGACAUUUCCAGCUGAAGGUAUCA